Molecule: ribosomal RNA, 495 nt
Filed under: uncultured bacterium
Lineage: Bacteria
Description: partial 16S ribosomal RNA
Rfam family: Bacterial small subunit ribosomal RNA
Source: RNAcentral
GACGAACGCUGGCGGCGUGCCUAAUACAUGCAAGUAGAACGCUGAAGGGGGAGCUUGCUUCUCUGGAUGAGUUGCGAACGGGUGAGUAACGCGUAGGUAACCUGCCUGGUAGCGGGGGAUAACUAUUGGAAACGAUAGCUAAUACCGCAUAAUAGUAGAUGUUGCAUGACAUUUGCUUAAAAGGUGCAAUUGCAUCACUACCAGAUGGACCUGCGUUGUAUUAGCUAGUUGGUGGGGUAACGGCUCACCAAGGCGACGAUACAUAGCCGACCUGAGAGGGUGAUCGGCCACACUGGGACUGAGACACGGCCCAGACUCCUACGGGAGGCAGCAGUAGGGAAUCUUCGGCAAUGGACGGAAGUCUGACCGAGCAACGCCGCGUGAGUGAAGAAGGUUUUCGGAUCGUAAAGCUCUGUUGUAAGAGAAGAACGAGUGUGAGAGUGGAAAGUUCACACUGUGACGGUAUCUUACCAGAAAGGGACGGCUAACUACGUG